CAGCCGCCGCGGUAAUACAGAGGGUGCGAGCGUUAAUCGGAUUUACUGGGCGUAAAGCGUGCGUAGGCGGCUUCUUAAGUCGGAUGUGAAAUCCCUGAGCUUAACUUAGGAAUUGCAUUCGAUACUGGGAAGCUAGAGUAUGGGAGAGGAUGGUAGAAUUCCAGGUGUAGCGGUGAAAUGCGUAGAGAUCUGGAGGAAUACCGAUGGCGAAGGCAGCCAUCUGGCCUAAUACUGACGCUGAGGUACGAAAGCAUGGGGAGCAAACAGGAUUAGAUACCCCCGUAGUCCCUGUCUCUUACAC
Molecule: ribosomal RNA, 301 nt
Filed under: uncultured bacterium
Lineage: Bacteria
Description: partial 16S ribosomal RNA
Rfam family: Bacterial small subunit ribosomal RNA
Source: RNAcentral